AUUGAACGCUGGCGGCAGGCUUAACACAUGCAAGUCGAGCGGGGUGAUGGUGCUUGCACUAUCACUUAGCGGCGGACGGGUGAGUAAUGCUUAGGAAUCUGCCUAUUAGUGGGGGACAACAUCUCGAAAGGGAUGCUAAUACCGCAUACGUCCGACGGGAGAAAGCAGGGGAUCACUUGUGACAUUGCGCUAAUAGAUGAGCCUAAGUCGGAUUAGCUGGGUGGUGGGGUAAAGGCCUACCAAGGCGACGAUCUGUAGCGGGUCUGAGAGGAUGAUCCGCCACACUGGGACUGAGACACGGCCCAGACUCCUACGGGAGGCAGCAGUGGGGAAUAUUGGACAAUGGGGGGAACCCUGAUCCAGCCAUGCCGCGUGUGUGAGGAAGGCCUUAUGGAUGUAAAGCACUCUAAGCGAGGAGGAGGCUCUUUUGGUUAAUACCCAAGAUGAGUGGACGUUACUCGCAGAAUAAGCACCGGCUAACUCUGUGCCAGCCGCCGCAGUAA
This 503-nucleotide ribosomal RNA is filed under the name uncultured bacterium. RNAcentral's name for it is "partial 16S ribosomal RNA". It matches the Rfam family "Bacterial small subunit ribosomal RNA", at positions 30 to 523 of the family's 1533-position model. The record is from RNAcentral.